Non-coding RNA from Takifugu rubripes (torafugu), 331 nucleotides. Lineage: Eukaryota; Metazoa; Chordata; Actinopteri; Tetraodontiformes; Tetraodontidae. The record is from Rfam.
AUUCCUACGGAGUGUCUCUUCUAACCCUAAAUUAUCUCGGCUCCCUGUACUCGGCGUUUGCUGUUUUUGUCUGGCUUUCAGGAAACUACAGGGAGUCUUGGACGUCUCGGUUCACGGAUCAAAAAAGCCAAGAAAAUCACUCCGUCGCGUUCAGGUCCCCCCCAGGAACACCGAGAGCCCUGUUGUGGUCAGUCCGGCUGCCGCAAAGAGUUGGUCUCUGCUGCUCCGGUGUCUUGGCGGGAUCACCAAGGACUGAACAGAGAAACAGUGAGCGUGGUGACUCUACCGGUUCUUCCAAUGUCCCGGUUAGGAUACCCAAGCUCAAACACUC